GAUGAACGCUGGCGGCGUGCUUAACACAUGCAAGUCGAACGAUGAAGCCCAGCUUGCUGGGUGGAUUAGUGGCGAACGGGUGAGUAACACGUGAGUAACCUGCCCUUAACUCUGGGAUAAGCCUGGGAAACUGGGUCUAAUACCGGAUAGGAGCGUCCACCGCAUAGGGGGUGUUGGAAAGAUUUAUCGGUUUUGGAUGGACUCGCGGCCUAUCAGCUUGUUGGUGAGGGAAUGGCUCACCAAGGCGAGGACGGGUAGCCGGCCUGGGAGGGGGACCGGCCACACUGGGAUUGGGACCCGGCCCAGACUCCUCCGGGAGGCAGCAGUGGGGAAUAUUGCACAAUGGGCGCAAGCCGGAUGCAGCGACGCCGCGUGAGGGAUGCCGGCCUUCGGGUUGUAAACCUCUUUCAGUAGGGAAGAAGCGAAAGUGACGGUACCUGCAGAAGAAGCACCGGCUAACUACGU
This 465-nucleotide ribosomal RNA is filed under the name uncultured bacterium. Its description in RNAcentral is "partial 16S ribosomal RNA". It matches the Rfam family "Bacterial small subunit ribosomal RNA", at positions 28 to 506 of the family's 1533-position model. The record is from RNAcentral.